UAGUUACAACCGGGUAUUUCGGGCCGAACCGGGUUCGGGCCCGAAAUGAAAAUUAGAUUGAAUUAAUUGCCAUUUUAUUUGAUAAUGAGAAAUUUGAAAUUUAAUUGGGUUUGAAUUGGUGUGUAAAUGUUAUUUUUUUGCCCUUGCAUGCCUAAGUGAAUGUUAUUUGGCCCUAGGGGCAAAAUGGUCUUUUAGACCCUUAAUUUAUGUUUAAUAAAAGAAUGAUUAUAAGGAAAAUAAAAUGAAUUUUCUGGUGUUAUUCUCUCUCUCAUCCGACCCUCUUUCUCUCUUCCAAACCCUCUUGAUUUUCCAAAAUUUGUUUGGAGAAUUGCUUGAAGUUGGUGUGGAAUCAAAGCUUUGCAAUUGUGGAAUUUUGAGCUUGCUUUUGGAUUGAGUUUAAGAUUUGUGUGACUAGGAUUACCGACACCUGAUCAGGAGCACCCAGGGAUUUGGAAUCUCCUUCUAUAGCUGGACAACAGGAAAGGGUAAGUCAGUGACUGAUCAACCAUGAGUUUCAGGAGCAGGACGAAGAAUGUACAUGUUCACGCCACUUCAGACCAAGCGGGUUAUGGGUCUAACAGUGUUGACUUUUGUAUUCGGUUUUGCCGCUUAGGUCGGCUAGUAAGAAAGAACUUGUAAUAAGUUUGUAAAUAUUUUUGGGAUCCCAACUAUUUUGAAAAGUUAAAUAUAUUACAAGUUUAUUUUCA
Molecule: long non-coding RNA, 707 nt
Organism: Cannabis sativa
Lineage: Eukaryota; Viridiplantae; Streptophyta; Magnoliopsida; Rosales; Cannabaceae
Exons: 3
Source: RefSeq, a predicted model, not a curated record